CAGCAGCCGCGGGAAUACGUAGGGCGCAAGCGUUGUCCGGAAUUAUUGGGCGUAAAGAGCUCGUAGGCGGUUUGUCGCGUCUGCUGUGAAAACUCGAGGCUCAACCUCGGGCCUGCAGUGGGUACGGGCAGACUAGAGUGCGGUAGGGGAGACUGGAAUUCCUGGUGUAGCGGUGGAAUGCGCAGAUAUCAGGAGGAACACCGAUGGCGAAGGCAGGUCUCUGGGCCGCAACUGACGCUGAGGAGCGAAAGCAUGGGGAGCGAACAGGAUUAGAUACCCCAGUAGUCCCUGUCUCUUAUAC
RNAcentral lists this ribosomal RNA (301 nucleotides) under uncultured bacterium. RNAcentral's name for it is "partial 16S ribosomal RNA". It matches the Rfam family "Bacterial small subunit ribosomal RNA", at positions 509 to 807 of the family's 1533-position model. The record is from RNAcentral.